Cyprinus carpio (common carp) is the source of this 299-nucleotide long non-coding RNA. RefSeq lists it as uncharacterized. The transcript has 3 exons. Lineage: Eukaryota; Metazoa; Chordata; Actinopteri; Cypriniformes; Cyprinidae. The record is from RefSeq and is a predicted model, not a curated record.
UACUUUACAUGAUAAAUGAUGCAAAUCUAAUUUUGAAAAAACAGCCUUUAGAGCCGUUCCCGAGCCAACAAGAAGUCAUCCUUCGGAUGCAAAACCAUACUACGUCAACCAGGCGGAGCUCUUCAUUCCAGUAAAUGCUGGCAAAAAACGGAAAAAACUAAAACAAAAUGUGUAUAAAAAUCCAAUAUAUGGAGACUGAAGUGAGACAGUGACAGCAGAAUAAUACAUGUUUCAAUCAGCAUAACAAAAUUGUUCAUUAUAAACAGUUCAAUAUCUCAAUAAAUUCUGAUGUUUAAUGA